AAAAUCUUGUCUUCAGCAAACAGCUUACUGCAGCCAACAGGCAAGGAGCUGUUUGCUUUGGUGUGACAGCAAGAGGACUGGCACAAUGGACAAGCAAUGCCGUUAGCAGGUAGGACUGGAAUGAGAUUAUCAUACUGGCAUUGCAUAUGUAUGUGUUUUAUUCCUGAGCUGGAGUCUAAGCUCUGGAGUAUGCAUUUCACAGCCAUACAAGCACCGAUGUGAACCAG
This 227-nucleotide long non-coding RNA is filed under the name Gallus gallus (chicken). The record is from RNAcentral. Lineage: Eukaryota; Metazoa; Chordata; Aves; Galliformes; Phasianidae.